This 466-nucleotide ribosomal RNA is filed under the name uncultured bacterium. RNAcentral's name for it is "partial 16S ribosomal RNA". It matches the Rfam family "Bacterial small subunit ribosomal RNA", at positions 28 to 507 of the family's 1533-position model. The record is from RNAcentral.
GAUGAACGCUGGCGGCGUGCUUAACACAUGCAAGUCGAACGAUGAAGCCCAGCUUGCUGGGUGGAUUAGUGGCGAACGGGUGAGUAACACGUGAGUAACCUGCCCUUAAGUCUGGGAUAAGCCUGGGAAACUGGGUCUAAUACCGGAUAGGAGCGUCCACCGCAUGGGGGGUGUUGGGAAGAUUUAUCGGUUUUGGAUGGUCUCGCGGCUUAUCAGCUUGUUGGUGAGGUAAUGGCUCACCAAGGCGACGACGGGUGGCCGGCCUGAGAGGGUGACCGGCCACACUGGGACUGAGACACGGCCCAGACUCCUACGGGAGGCAGCAGUGGGGAAUAUUGCACAAUGGGCGAAAGCCUGAUGCAGCGACGCCGCGUGAGGGAUGACGGCCUUCGGGUUGUAAACCUCUUUCAGUAGGGAGGAAGCGAAAGUGACGGUACCUGCAGAAGAAGCACCGGCUAACUACGUG